This is a long non-coding RNA of Rhineura floridana, 678 nucleotides long. RefSeq lists it as uncharacterized. The record is from RefSeq and is a predicted model, not a curated record. The transcript is spliced from 5 exons. NCBI's taxonomy places the organism in Eukaryota, Metazoa, Chordata, Lepidosauria, Squamata, Rhineuridae.
CAGCUCCUUCAUUUACACUGGAUUUUGGAGAGAACAGUGGUUCACUGUAUAAGGGAAUGUGGAAAGCAAGGGGAGCUGACUUGGAACGGGAGUCUCCCAUAUCAGGAGCUAUCUAGUACUCUCAUAAAUGCCCCCUGGUUUCGUGGAAGAAUGCCAGUAUGUACUAACAUCAGCACUGAACUAAAAAGUCUAUGAAGCAAGUUAACAAUUCAGACAGGAGCCCAGGGUGACAGCAGCCCAGUGUUGGGAGUUGUAGCUCUAUGGCAGGUACAAUCUGCAUCACCUCCCAGACGAUAAGGCAUGCAAAGAUUAUUGCUUCUUCUUGCUUGGAGAGACAAGUGAACAGGCAACAGCAGGGAGGAAGAACAGCAGGUCCAGGAGCCUUCAGAGAUUCCAAGUAGGGCAUAGGCCUCGGCAAGACCCAACAACACUGACCCCUAAUGCCAGCCCUGACUUUGGAAUCAUUAUGCUUGUAACAAUGGGAACAGCUAUAAAAUCACCUGCUGCAUUUCCCACCCAUGCAACUCCCUUGUGACAGCGCAAUCAGCCUCUCCUGUUUCAAUUUCCAUGCUAUGUCUGAGAUAACAUUUGACUAGAUUUUUUUUCUCUUUUGCCUUGCCCACAUUUAUAAUCUCAAUGUAAAUCACUAAAUCUUGCACGCAUGGUAUAAAAAUAUUA